GAUGAACGCUGGCGGCGUGCCUAAUACAUGCAAGUCGAGCGAACAGACGAGGAGCUUGCUCCUCUGACGUUAGCGGCGGACGGGUGAGUAACACGUGGAUAACCUACCUAUAAGACUGGGAUAACUUCGGGAAACCGGAGCUAAUACCGGAUAAUAUAUUGAACCGCAUGGUUCAAUAGUGAAAGACGGUUUUGCUGUCACUUAUAGAUGGAUCCGCGCCGCAUUAGCUAGUUGGUAAGGUAACGGCUUACCAAGGCAACGAUGCGUAGCCGACCUGAGAGGGUGAUCGGCCACACUGGAACUGAGACACGGUCCCGACUCCUACGGGAGGCAGCAGUAGGGAAUCUUCCGCAAUGGGCGAAAGCCUGACGGAGCAACGCCGCGUGAGUGAUGAAGGUCUUCGGAUCGUAAAACUCUGUUAUUAGGGAAGAACAAAUGUGUAAGUAACUAUGCACGUCUUGACGGUACCUAAUCAGAAAGCCACGGCUAACUACGUG
RNAcentral lists this ribosomal RNA (497 nucleotides) under uncultured bacterium. RNAcentral describes it as "partial 16S ribosomal RNA". It matches the Rfam family "Bacterial small subunit ribosomal RNA", at positions 28 to 507 of the family's 1533-position model. The record is from RNAcentral.